This 64-nucleotide transfer RNA is filed under the name Echinoecus nipponicus. RNAcentral describes it as "tRNA-Leu". Lineage: Eukaryota; Metazoa; Arthropoda; Malacostraca; Decapoda; Pilumnidae. The record is from RNAcentral.
ACUAUGGUGGCAGAGAAUGCAUUAAAUUUAAGUUCUAAAUACAUAGAUUAGUCUAUCCAUAGUA